UCUUUUAGACAUUGGGUAGGGGAGCGUUCUGUAAGCCGUUGAAGGUGAAUCGUAAGGUUUGCUGGAGGUAUCAGAAGUGCGAAUGCUGACAUGAGUAACGACAAGGGGGGUGAAAAACCUCCCCGCCGGAAGACCAAGGGUUCCUGUCCAACGUUAAUCGGGGCAGGGUGAGUCGACCCCUAAGGCGAGGCUGAAAAGCGUAGUCGAUGGGAAACGGGUUAAUAUUCCCGUACUCAAUCAAAUUGCGAUGGGGGGACGGAGAAGGCUAGGUGGGCCAGGCGACGGUUGUCCUGGUUCAAGUGCGUAGGCUUAAGAGUUAGGUAAAUCCGGCUCUUUCUAAGGCUGAGACACGACGUCGAGCUACUACGGUAGUGAAGUCAUUGAUGCCAUGCUUCCAGGAAAAGCCUCUAAGCUUCAGAUUUGA
RNAcentral lists this ribosomal RNA (424 nucleotides) under Vibrio cholerae. Its description in RNAcentral is "partial 23S ribosomal RNA". It matches the Rfam family "Bacterial large subunit ribosomal RNA", at positions 1213 to 1636 of the family's 2925-position model. Lineage: Bacteria; Pseudomonadati; Pseudomonadota; Gammaproteobacteria; Vibrionales; Vibrionaceae. The record is from RNAcentral.